Long non-coding RNA from Lactuca sativa (garden lettuce), 514 nucleotides. RefSeq lists it as uncharacterized. NCBI's taxonomy places the organism in Eukaryota, Viridiplantae, Streptophyta, Magnoliopsida, Asterales, Asteraceae. The record is from RefSeq and is a predicted model, not a curated record.
UUCACAAAAACCCACACAUAUACAUAUGUAUGUGUCAGACUAAACAUACGUAUACAUAGUUACAUACAUAUACAUAUAUGAAUCUGCUCAUGUUCACUUCUUAAUUGAUGCAUAAGUGCUUGCUUGCUACACAUCACCAGAUAUAAUAUGAGAUCUACAAGCCUCCUCUCUUUGCUGUUCCUCAUCCUCAUCUUAUCUCAUGUGAAUCUUAAUGCCAAACCGGACAAGGGAUCUAUGAACUCUGUCCAUUUGAUUAAUGAGGAGUCAUGUGGGAAGACGAUGAAGGGUCAUCAGCAAGGCAGUGAAAAUAAGUCAGACAAGGGCGGUUUUGAGGAUGAGGACUACAUCUAUACUCAAUCAGUCCCUUAGAUUGAUCAUAGGCAGCCAAUGCAAAUUACCUUCCCAUUAUCUAUCUCUUAGACUUAUUUUGAACCAUGAUCUUAUGAAUGAUUGUAACUAUAUGUUGUAGAUUCAUGAAUUUAAAAAGUUCUAUGUAACAAAUCUUUUUUGAGCA